Helianthus annuus (common sunflower) is the source of this 437-nucleotide long non-coding RNA. RefSeq lists it as uncharacterized. The record is from RefSeq and is a predicted model, not a curated record. Lineage: Eukaryota; Viridiplantae; Streptophyta; Magnoliopsida; Asterales; Asteraceae. The transcript has 3 exons.
GAUAAAUAGAAGGAUUUCAGCACUUUUGGAAGACAAGAUUCAAUUGCUUGUGUAUGCAGGAGAAUAUGAUCUUAUUUGCAACUGGCUCGGGAAUUCGAGAUGGGUUCAUGUCAUGUCAUGGUCUGAUCAGAAAGAUUUUAUUUCAGCUUCAAAUGUUUCGUUUAUAGUCGACGGAAAAGAAACUGGCAUUUUAAAGAAUCAUGGCCCUUUGACUCUGUACAUUGUGUCACGAGCGUGCUUUUAGAAGCUGGAUCUGCAGUUGAUGAUAAUCCAUAUGUGUCAACGUCUUUCAUUGUAAUUGAUGCGUUUGACAUUCCGAAGUACGGCUAUGAUCCCAUCAGAAAGAUGUUUUCCAGCACACAUGGAGACUUUCAAUUCAUGGUGAUGCUUCUGCAAAAGCUCGGUUGUAUAGAGAUAGGUUUCUAUGGUUGUGUCAG